Molecule: long non-coding RNA, 2226 nt
Organism: Cercocebus atys (sooty mangabey)
Lineage: Eukaryota; Metazoa; Chordata; Mammalia; Primates; Cercopithecidae
Exons: 3
Source: RefSeq, a predicted model, not a curated record
UUUAUUGAAUACUUAGUGUUUCUCAGGAAUCAUAUGAAGUUUUAUUCUAACAACAACCCCAUGAGUUAAAUUUAAUUAUAUAUUUUAUAAAUGAUAAUUUUGAGCAAAUUAAUCAUAGUUACACAGUUAUUAAUCAAUUUAUACUCAGAUCUUCCUGAUUCCAAGUAGAUGCUUAUAAAACACUACAUAGCGUGAUUAACUUCUUCUGGACACCUCAGAGCUAAUUUUACAUGGCAGAUCCUACAUAUUCCUAAUGUGGGCAGUUUCUUUCAUAGUGUUAUCUUAGGUGAUGUCCCUUAAAAUAGUGUCCUGUCCAAAAAUAUCUCCCCUGUGGUCUGUGGUUACACUAACAUUCCACCAUACGUAAAAUACUGCUUAAAAGCAAUGUAUUCAGUGCAUUUUCAAUUCUCAUCUCUCUCUUCUUUGGCUCCUCUCAGUUGUAAAAAUAUUUCUUUUCUAUACCUAGGUAACACUUCCAUCUGUACUUUUGCAUUCAUCAUUUCCUCCUUUCCGUAGAACAGAAGUUCUCAGACUGUGCUGCCUAGAACCUCCUGGCAGGGACAGUGGCACAGAGAAGACAGGACCCUGAUGCCCCAGCCUCUCUUCAUCCAGAGCAACUCUGCCUUCACCUGCUCAGACAUGGGCUCAUAAAUAUCUUCAUUUGAAUAACAGGGUAUAAAAGAAGCCGAUUGAUCCGACAAAAAUUUCAUUAAUAGCAUGCAGUCAUUCAUCAGAGGGUACACAAGACCUUGGAUUUCAUAUAUAUAAAGGAGGUAAAUUAAGGUUGUCUCUUAGCUGCUGUACUCGCUGACUUCUCUCCCCUUGUCUUUUGUUUGAAGACAUAAAUUUCAAGAUGUGUGUGUUUAAGGAGUGGGAGUAUGAAGGUGUGUAUUUGGAAAAAGGAUGAGCGUAAAAUGGCUUAAGUCAGAAAAUUGUCAUUGAAAAUAGGAACAUUGGUGUCAUUUUGCCUUAUAUCACAAGGUGUCAGGAUUAUGUCAGCAAAUUAAAAAACUUUCAGUAUCAACAAGCCUAUUUCUGAAAAUCAUUAUUUGCCACCUGCAGUGAUCCCUUCUCCUAAUGCUCCAAUACAUAAGCCUAAGAGUGAGGCAUACCUCCAUGUGUACACACAUACAUAUGUAAAGUUACAAACACCAGCAAAUUAAAGACAAAUAAUUGAAGGGCGUGGGGAUUGAACUGUGUAUGACAAUUGUAAAGGAAACAACUGGUAUUGUCUGGAGAUGUACAGUAUGAGUGUGGACAAAGAAAUCAGUGGAUGUUAAGAAGGGCAUACAAAAUGAAUUUUAAAUGUACCCUUGAUUUUAAAAAGACCAGCCAGAUUUGAAAAUGGCUGCAAACUCAAAUAGACAUUUGAACUCAAGUGAAACAAGAGAGAACAAAGUCAUUUUACAUGUGUCACAUUAUGCCGAAACACCCUCUUCAAGGGUUGCAGAUACAAGCCCUGUUUAUAGCUGUACUACUUUGUCAUUUCACUAUGGGUGUAUAUAUGCAUUGUGAAAUAGAUGUGUGUAUUUCGGGAUGAAUUUUUAUGGUUUCAUAAAUCAUGACUAGUUCAAUCACUGUGCAAUGAAUCCUGCGCUCACAAAAUCAAACUAAACAGAAUAAGACAAAAAUCACAAAGUAAAAGCUGAAAUGAAUUUUUCCAAGAAAGAUUAAAUUUUUGAUGUAUGUGGAGCUUUAAAUUGUUAUAAUUUUAAUGCCUUUACAUAUGUUCAUUUCUGUAUUUAUUCAAAUAUUACUAGUGUCAUUGUGCCCUUAGGAUUAGUGUGCAUGCCUACCUCUGUGGGCAGAGUGAAAUGUAUUGAAUAUAGCAGUUGGGAAUCUAGUAAGAAAAACAGAAGUAACAUUAUUUUAAUGUAGUAAUUCAAUGUUAGGAAAUGACUUAACGUAUUAGUUAUUCAACAGAGAAAAUUUAUUAUAAGUAAUUCAUUUAAAAAAGUAUUGAGAGACUGAAAGGAAAAGUGGAUAUUGUGUAAUAUGAAGCAUUAGCUAGAUUGGUUCCCUUUUCGACCCAUUGGGGAUCUUGGCUCUUUGCACCACAGCUGUCACCCAGAGGGGCAGAAAUCUGGGAGGAUAAGAAGAUAGGUUCUAGACAAGAAUGAUGGACCUUUGUAGUCUGAAUCUUUUGUGUCCCCUGAAAAACUCAUAUGCCAUCUGGUCGCGGUGGCUCACAGCUGUAAUCCCAGCCCUUUGGGAGGCUGAGGCAGG